Molecule: ribosomal RNA, 253 nt
Filed under: uncultured bacterium
Lineage: Bacteria
Description: partial 16S ribosomal RNA
Rfam family: Bacterial small subunit ribosomal RNA
Source: RNAcentral
UACAGAGGUCUCAAGCGUUGUUCGGAUUCAUUGGGCGUAAAGGGUGCGUAGGUGGCGCUGUAAGUCGGGUGUGAAAUUUCGGAGCUUAACUCCGAAACUGCAUUCGAUACUGCGGUGCUUGAGGACUGGAGAGGAGACUGGAAUUCAUGGUGUAGCAGUGAAAUGCGUAGAGAUCAUGAGGAAGACCAGUGGCGAAGGCGGGUCUCUGGACGACUCCUGACACUGAGGCACGAAAGCUAGGGGAGCAAACAGG